UACAGAGGUGGCAAGCGUUGUUCGGAAUUACUGGGCGUAAAGGGCUCGUAGGCGGCCAACUAAGUCAGACGUGAAAUCCCCAGGCUUAACCUGGGAACUGCGUCUGAUACUGGAUGGCUUGAAUUCGGGAGAGGGAUGCAGAAUUCCAGGUGUAGCGGUGAAAUGCGUAGAUAUCUGGAGGAAUACCGGUGGCGAAGGCGGCAUCCUGGACCGAGAUUGACGCUGAUGAGCGAAAGCUAGGGGAGCAAACGGG
This 253-nucleotide ribosomal RNA is filed under the name uncultured bacterium. RNAcentral's name for it is "partial 16S ribosomal RNA". It matches the Rfam family "Bacterial small subunit ribosomal RNA", at positions 524 to 776 of the family's 1533-position model. The record is from RNAcentral.